AUCCGGCUGACGAGUUGUAAAUAGAACUAAAAGCGCAUCCUGGAU
Molecule: non-coding RNA, 45 nt
Organism: Schistosoma mattheei
Lineage: Eukaryota; Metazoa; Platyhelminthes; Trematoda; Strigeidida; Schistosomatidae
Source: Rfam